CGGAAGAAUAAGUCUGAUGUGAAAGCCCCCGGCUCAACCGGGGAGGGUCAUUGGAAACUGGGAGACUUGAGUGCAGAAGAGGAGAGUGGAAUUCCAUGUGUAGCGGUGAAAUGCGUAGAUAUAUGGAGGAACACCAGUGGCGAAGGCGGCUCUCUGGUCUGUAACUGACGCUGAGGUUCGAAAGCGUGGGUAGCA
RNAcentral lists this ribosomal RNA (195 nucleotides) under uncultured bacterium. RNAcentral's name for it is "partial 16S ribosomal RNA". It matches the Rfam family "Bacterial small subunit ribosomal RNA", at positions 576 to 770 of the family's 1533-position model. The record is from RNAcentral.